Molecule: ribosomal RNA, 254 nt
Filed under: uncultured bacterium
Lineage: Bacteria
Description: partial 16S ribosomal RNA
Rfam family: Bacterial small subunit ribosomal RNA
Source: RNAcentral
UACGUAGGGGGCGAGCGUUGUCCGGAUUUACUGGGCGUAAAGGGCGCGUAGGCGGCCGCGUUUGUCGGGGGUGAAAUCCCCGGGCUCAACCCGGGGGAGUCUCUCGAAACGGCGCGGCUCUGAGGGCGGUAGAGGAUGGUGGAAUUCCGGGUGUAGUGGUGAAAUGCGUAGAGAUCCGGAGGAACACCGGUGGCGAAGGCGGCCAUCUGGGCCGGCCCUGACGCUGAGGCGCGAAAGCGUGGGGAGCGAACUGA